Molecule: ribosomal RNA, 2904 nt
Filed under: Salmonella enterica subsp. enterica serovar Enteritidis
Lineage: Bacteria; Pseudomonadati; Pseudomonadota; Gammaproteobacteria; Enterobacterales; Enterobacteriaceae
Also listed under: 2 other names
Description: 23S ribosomal RNA
Rfam family: Bacterial large subunit ribosomal RNA
Source: RNAcentral
GGUUAAGCGACUAAGCGUACACGGUGGAUGCCCUGGCAGUCAGAGGCGAUGAAGGGCGUGCUAAUCUGCGAUAAGCGCCGGUAAGGUGAUAUGAACCGUUAUAACCGGCGAUACCCGAAUGGGGAAACCCAGUGUGACUCGUCACACUAUCAUUAACUGAAUCCAUAGGUUAAUGAGGCGAACCGGGGGAACUGAAACAUCUAAGUACCCCGAGGAAAAGAAAUCAACCGAGAUUCCCCCAGUAGCGGCGAGCGAACGGGGAGGAGCCCAGAGCCUGAAUCAGCAUGUGUGUUAGUGGAAGCGUCUGGAAAGGCGCGCGAUACAGGGUGACAGCCCCGUACACAAAAGCGCAUGUGCUGUGAGCUCGAUGAGUAGGGCGGGACACGUGGUAUCCUGUCUGAAUAUGGGGGGACCAUCCUCCAAGGCUAAAUACUCCUGACUGACCGAUAGUGAACCAGUACCGUGAGGGAAAGGCGAAAAGAACCCCGGCGAGGGGAGUGAAAAAGAACCUGAAACCGUGUACGUACAAGCAGUGGGAGCACCCUUUGGGUGUGACUGCGUACCUUUUGUAUAAUGGGUCAGCGACUUAUAUUCUGUAGCAAGGUUAACCGAAUAGGGGAGCCGGAGGGAAACCGAGUCUUAAUUGGGCGUUAAGUUGCAGGGUAUAGACCCGAAACCCGGUGAUCUAGCCAUGGGCAGGUUGAAGGUUGGGUAACACUAACUGGAGGACCGAACCGACUAAUGUUGAAAAAUUAGCGGAUGACCUGUGGCUGGGGGUGAAAGGCCAAUCAAACCGGGAGAUAGCUGGUUCUCCCCGAAAGCUAUUUAGGUAGCGCCUCGUGAAUUCAUCUCCGGGGGUAGAGCACUGUUUCGGCUAGGGGGCCAUCCCGGCUUACCAACCCGAUGCAAACUGCGAAUACCGGAGAAUGUUAUCACGGGAGACACACGGCGGGUGCUAACGUCCGUCGUGAAGAGGGAAACAACCCAGACCGCCAGCUAAGGUCCCAAAGUCAUGGUUAAGUGGGAAACGAUGUGGGAAGGCCCAGACAGCCAGGAUGUUGGCUUAGAAGCAGCCAUCAUUUAAAGAAAGCGUAAUAGCUCACUGGUCGAGUCGGCCUGCGCGGAAGAUGUAACGGGGCUAAACCAUGCACCGAAGCUGCGGCAGCGACACUGUGUGUUGUUGGGUAGGGGAGCGUUCUGUAAGCCUGUGAAGGUGUGUCGUGAGGCAUGCUGGAGGUAUCAGAAGUGCGAAUGCUGACAUAAGUAACGAUAAAGCGGGUGAAAAGCCCGCUCGCCGGAAGACCAAGGGUUCCUGUCCAACGUUAAUCGGGGCAGGGUGAGUCGACCCCUAAGGCGAGGCCGAAAGGCGUAGUCGAUGGGAAACGGGUUAAUAUUCCCGUACUUGGUGUUACUGCGAAGGGGGGACGGAGAAGGCUAUGUUGGCCGGGCGACGGUUGUCCCGGUUUAAGUGUGUAGGUGUGUGUUCCAGGUAAAUCCGGUUCACUUUAACACUGAGGCGUGACGACGAGGCACUACGGUGCUGAAGCAACAAAUGCCCUGCUUCCAGGAAAAGCCUCUAAGCAUCAGGUAACAUCAAAUCGUACCCCAAACCGACACAGGUGGUCAGGUAGAGAAUACCAAGGCGCUUGAGAGAACUCGGGUGAAGGAACUAGGCAAAAUGGUGCCGUAACUUCGGGAGAAGGCACGCUGACACGUAGGUGAAGUGAUUUACUCAUGGAGCUGAAGUCAGUCGAAGAUACCAGCUGGCUGCAACUGUUUAUUAAAAACACAGCACUGUGCAAACACGAAAGUGGACGUAUACGGUGUGACGCCUGCCCGGUGCCGGAAGGUUAAUUGAUGGGGUCAGCGCAAGCGAAGCUCCUGAUCGAAGCCCCGGUAAACGGCGGCCGUAACUAUAACGGUCCUAAGGUAGCGAAAUUCCUUGUCGGGUAAGUUCCGACCUGCACGAAUGGCGUAAUGAUGGCCAGGCUGUCUCCACCCGAGACUCAGUGAAAUUGAACUCGCUGUGAAGAUGCAGUGUACCCGCGGCAAGACGGAAAGACCCCGUGAACCUUUACUAUAGCUUGACACUGAACAUUGAGCCUUGAUGUGUAGGAUAGGUGGGAGGCUUUGAAGUGUGGACGCCAGUCUGCAUGGAGCCGACCUUGAAAUACCACCCUUUAAUGUUUGAUGUUCUAACGUGGACCCGUUACCCGGGUUGCGGACAGUGUCUGGUGGGUAGUUUGACUGGGGCGGUCUCCUCCUAAAGAGUAACGGAGGAGCACGAAGGUUGGCUAAUCCUGGUCGGACAUCAGGAGGUUAGUGCAAUGGCAUAAGCCAGCUUGACUGCGAGCGUGACGGCGCGAGCAGGUGCGAAAGCAGGUCAUAGUGAUCCGGUGGUUCUGAAUGGAAGGGCCAUCGCUCAACGGAUAAAAGGUACUCCGGGGAUAACAGGCUGAUACCGCCCAAGAGUUCAUAUCGACGGCGGUGUUUGGCACCUCGAUGUCGGCUCAUCACAUCCUGGGGCUGAAGUAGGUCCCAAGGGUAUGGCUGUUCGCCAUUUAAAGUGGUACGCGAGCUGGGUUUAGAACGUCGUGAGACAGUUCGGUCCCUAUCUGCCGUGGGCGCUGGAGAACUGAGGGGGGCUGCUCCUAGUACGAGAGGACCGGAGUGGACGCAUCACUGGUGUUCGGGUUGUCAUGCCAAUGGCACUGCCCGGUAGCUAAAUGCGGAAGAGAUAAGUGCUGAAAGCAUCUAAGCACGAAACUUGCCCCGAGAUGAGUUCUCCCUGAGACUUAAAGUCUCCUGAAGGAACGUUGAAGACGACGACGUUGAUAGGCCGGGUGUGUAAGCGCAGCGAUGCGUUGAGCUAACCGGUACUAAUGAACCGUGAGGCUUAACCUU